GACGAACGCUGGCGGCGUGCUUAACACAUGCAAGUCGAACGGAAAGGCCCUGCUUUUGUGGGGUUCUCGAUUGGCGAACGGGUGAGUAACACGUGAGUAACCUGCCCUUGACUUUGUGGUAACUUCAGGAAACUGCGGCUAAUAUCGGAUAGGAUCUCCUGCUGCGUGGUGGUGGUUGGAAAGUUUCGGCGGUUGUGGAUGGACUCGCGGCUUAUCAGCUUGUUUGUGGGGUAGGUGCUUACCAAGGCUUUGACGGAUAGGCGGCCUUAGAGGGUGACCGGCGACAUUGGGACUGAGAUACGGACCAGAAUCCUACGGGAGGCAGCAGUGGGGAGUCUUGCGCAAUGGGCGGAAGCCUGAUGCAGCAACGCCGCGUGCGGGAUGACGGCCUUCGGGUUGUAAACCGCUUUCGACUAUGACGAAGCGUGAGUGACGGUACUGGGUAAAGAAGCACCGGCUAACUACGUG
This 468-nucleotide ribosomal RNA is filed under the name uncultured bacterium. RNAcentral's name for it is "partial 16S ribosomal RNA". It matches the Rfam family "Bacterial small subunit ribosomal RNA", at positions 28 to 507 of the family's 1533-position model. The record is from RNAcentral.